CUUAGAGAAAUAUGGCAAAUCAACCACCCACUCCCCCAGGAAUGCAGGCCAACCCAGUACUUAGCCAUCAGCCAUUUUUUUUUUGGUAUUCUUCACUUGAAUGCUGUUUAUUUUUUUCUACUUCCAAUGAACAAGAGGAAGACUUCUUUUCAAAAGGAUGCUCAAGAAGUUGCUGGGCUCUCAGGGAUAAACCUGAAGCUAGGACCAGGAGAGGGUAGCAUCCUGGGAUUUGAAACUCCUCUGCAUCCUUUGCCCCAACACAUAAAUUUUGCCAAGUAUUCCAGGUCAUAGCUCUCUGAUUGUCAUUGUGUACUUCUUUGUGGUAGGGGCCAUCAGGACAAUUACAUCGGCCACAUCUCAGCUAGAAGCUCACAAUCUAAGACAGAUCUGUAGAGGAUGGAUAUAUACCUAUAAGCCAAAUAAAAAUCUUAAAUUAACACCCA
Molecule: long non-coding RNA, 443 nt
Filed under: Monodelphis domestica (gray short-tailed opossum)
Lineage: Eukaryota; Metazoa; Chordata; Mammalia; Didelphimorphia; Didelphidae
Description: lncRNA (ENSMODG00000043672.1)
Source: RNAcentral